Molecule: ribosomal RNA, 399 nt
Filed under: uncultured bacterium
Lineage: Bacteria
Description: partial 16S ribosomal RNA
Rfam family: Bacterial small subunit ribosomal RNA
Source: RNAcentral
GCUACGGGAGGCUGCAGUAGGGAAUAUUGCUCAAUGGGGGAAACCCUGAAGCAGCAACGCCGCGUGGAGGAUGAAGGUUUUCGGAUUGUAAACUCCUGUUGUUAGAGAAGAGAAUGACGGUAUCUAACGAAUAAGCACCGGCUAACUCCGGGCCAGCAGCCGCGGUAAUACGGAGGGGGCAAGCGUUACUCGGAACCACUGGGCGUAAAGAGCGCGUAGGCGGGAUAGCAAGUCAGAUGUGAACUCCUAUUGCUUAACCCUAGGACUGCAUUUGAAAAUGUUAUUCUAGAGUAUGGGAGAGGUAGGUGGAAUUCUUGGUGUAGGGGUCAAAUCCGUAGAGAUCAAGCGGACUACUCAUUGCGAAGGCGACCUGCUAGAACAUAACUGACGCUGAUGCGC